Molecule: ribosomal RNA, 902 nt
Filed under: Hamatocanthoscypha laricionis
Lineage: Eukaryota; Fungi; Ascomycota; Leotiomycetes; Helotiales; Hamatocanthoscyphaceae
Description: SSU rRNA
Rfam family: Bacterial small subunit ribosomal RNA (bases 147-902)
Source: RNAcentral
AUUUGGGGGAUGUAUAACUUCGGUUAGCUAUACUGGGUCUUCAAUAAUUGUUUUUAGUAUAACUAUUAAUUAUAAUUUGGAUUGAUAACUUGUUUUUUUAACGAAAGACAAGUAGUAUGUAUAAUUAGAUAAUAAAUCUUCUAAUUACUUAACUGGAUAUUUUUUAUUCAGGCGGUUGGUAUAGGAGCGGCUUUGCCGAGUAAAGUUCUAGAUAUGAAACUGAUUAUGACAAUUUUAUUAUCUAUGUGUCUUGACCAAAUUACGUGCCAGCAGUCGCGGUAAUACGUAGAAGACUAGUGUUAUUCAUCUUUAGUAGGUUUAAAGGGUACCUAGACGGUAAAAUUAAUCUUUUGGAUAUGUUUUUACUAGAGUUAUAUAUGAGAAGGGGAGUAUUUAUGGUGUAGAGUUGAAAUUCGUUGAUCCCAUAACGACUGGUAACGGCGAAAGCAACCUUUUAUGUAAUAACUGACGUUGAGGGACGAAGGCUCGGGUCACGAACAGGAUUAGAUACCCUAGUAGUCCAAGCAGAGAAUUAUGAAUGCCAUAGAUUAGAUAUUUUUAGUCUAUAAAUGAAAGUGUAAGCAUUUCACCUCAAGAGUAAUGUGGCAACGCAGGAACUGAAAUCAUUAGACCGUUUCUGAAACCAGUAGUGAAGUAUGUUAUUUAAUUCGUAGGCACGCGAAAAACCUUACCACAAUUUGAAUAUUAUCUUUAUAAGAUAUUACAAGCGUUGCACGGCUGUCUUCAGUUAAUGUCGUGAGAUAUUGGUUAAUUCCUUUAAAUUAACGGAAGCCCCUUGCUUUAUUUGCUUAUUACUAUUUUACGAAUUUAACAAUAAAAUAUUAUAAAGAAAUAAAAGCAGUUCACCCUAUUAUAUUGGAUAUGAUAACAGGACCAAGACA